CGUAGGUGGCAAGCGUUAUCCGGAAUUAUUGGGCGUAAAGCGCGCGUAGGCGGUCUCUUAAGUCUGAUGUGAAAGCCCCCGGCUCAACCGGGGAGGGGUCAUUGGAAACUGGGAGGACUUGAGUACAGAAGAGGAGAGUGGAAUUCCAUGUGUAGCGGUGAAAUAGCGCAGAGAUAUGGAGGAACACCAGUGGCGAAGGCGGCUCUCUGGUCUGUAACUGACGCUGAGGUGCGAAAGCGUGGGAUCAAACAGGAUU
Molecule: ribosomal RNA, 256 nt
Filed under: uncultured bacterium
Lineage: Bacteria
Description: partial 16S ribosomal RNA
Rfam family: Bacterial small subunit ribosomal RNA
Source: RNAcentral